RNAcentral lists this ribosomal RNA (443 nucleotides) under uncultured bacterium. RNAcentral's name for it is "partial 16S ribosomal RNA". It matches the Rfam family "Bacterial small subunit ribosomal RNA", at positions 338 to 795 of the family's 1533-position model. The record is from RNAcentral.
CCUACGGGAGGCAGCAGUGGGGAAUAUUGGGCAAUGGGCGCAAGCCUGAUCCAGCAACGCCGCGUGAAGGAAGAAGGCUUUCGGGUUGUAAACUUCUUUUAUGAGGGACGAAAGUAAUGAUGGUACCUCAUGAAUAAGCCACGGCCAAUUACGCGCCAGCAGCCGCGGUAAUACGUAGGUGGCAAGCGUUAUCCGGAUUUACUGGGUGUAAAGGGCGUGUAGGCGGGACUGCAAGUCAGAUGUGAAAGUUAUGGGCUCAACCCAUAAACUGUUUUUGAAACUGUAGUUCUUGAGUGAUGGAGAGGCAAGCGGAAUUCCGUGUGUAGCGGUGAAAUGCGUAGAUAUACGGAGGAACACCAGUGGCGAAGGCGGCCUGCUGGACAGUAACUGACGCUGAGGCGCGAAAGCGUGGGGAGCAAACAGGAUUAGAUACCCCAGUAGUC